This 429-nucleotide ribosomal RNA is filed under the name Bacteroidota bacterium. Its description in RNAcentral is "Bacteroidetes bacterium partial 16S ribosomal RNA". It matches the Rfam family "Bacterial small subunit ribosomal RNA", at positions 355 to 776 of the family's 1533-position model. The record is from RNAcentral. Lineage: Bacteria; Pseudomonadati; Bacteroidota.
UAGGGAAUCUUCCGCAAUGGACGCAAGUCUGACGGAGCAACGCCGCGUGAGUGAAGAAGGAGUUCGGUUCGUAAAACUCUGUUGUUAGAGAAGAACAGCGCAUAGAGUAACUGUUAUGCGUGUGACGGUAUCUAACCAGAAAGCCACGGCUAACUACGUGCCAGCAGCCGCGGUAAUACGUAGGUGGCAAGCGUUGUCCGGAUUUAUUGGGCGUAAAGCGAGCGCAGGCGGUCAAUUAAGUCUGAUGUGAAAGCCCCCGGCUCAACCGGGGAGGGUCAUUGGAAACUGGUUGACUUGAGUGCAGAAGAGGAGAGUGGAAUUCCAUGUGUAGCGGUGAAAUGCGUAGAUAUAUGGAGGAACACCGGUGGCGAAAGCGUCUCUCUGGUCUGUAACUGACGCUGAGGCUCGAAAGCGUGGGGAGCGAACAGG